This 440-nucleotide ribosomal RNA is filed under the name uncultured bacterium. RNAcentral describes it as "partial 16S ribosomal RNA". It matches the Rfam family "Bacterial small subunit ribosomal RNA", at positions 338 to 795 of the family's 1533-position model. The record is from RNAcentral.
CCUACGGGGGGCAGCAGUGGGGGAUAUUGCACAAUGGGGGGAACCCUGAUGCAGCGACGCCGCGUGGGUGAAGAAGCGCCUCGGCGCGUAAAGCCCUGUCAGCAGGGAAGAAAAUGACGGUACCUGCAGAAGAAGCCCCGGCUAACUACGUGCCAGCAGCCGCGGUAAUACGUAGGGGGCAAGCGUUAUCCGGCUUUACUGGGUGUAAAGGGGGCGCAGACGGCGAUGCAAGCCAGGUGUGAAAGCCCGGGGCCCAACCCCGGGACUGCGCUUGGAACUGCGUGGCGGGAGGGCAGGAGGGGCAGGCGGAAUUCCUGGUGGAGCGGUGAAAUGGGUAGAUAUCAGGAGGAACACCGGUGGCGAAGGCGGCCUGCUGGACUGCAACUGACGUUGAGGCCCGAAAGCGUGGGGAGCAAACAGGAUUAGAUACCCCUGUAGUC